GAGAGAGAGAGAGAGAGAGAGAGAGAGAGAGAGAGAGGCGAAGGCGAAGGCGAGGGCGAGGGCGAAGGCGAAAGCGAGAGAGAGAAAGCUUCGACGAAGCAGCGGUCUGGUGACGAAACCCACCGCGAGCCAUCCCUUUUCUCUGUAGCAACGAAAACAGGGCAAAAAUCUGCACUGAUGAGCUACAUAAACCAAUGGAGGAUCCAGAUUCCAGACUGGCCAAGCUUUUGGAUAAAGCACACAAGUCUAAUUGAUGAGCUACAUAUACCAAUGGAGGAUUUCUGCAAAAUUUGGUCAACCAAAUGGGAUUAUGUGAUCCUUUGAAGUCGAAUACAAGUUGAUACCCUCCACGUGGAUUGUCGUUCGAAUUGAUGGCUUCCAUUUUCAUAGAUGGUGGAACCGGUGCUAAGGCAAGAUUUGGAUUUCAGUGGUGGUUAUGAAGCUUGUGUCUGCGAGGCACAUGGAUUCUAAUGGGCGUUACUUUGCUAUUAUUUUAUGUAAAUAUUUAUGAAUUGUGUAAGAUGUAGUUUAUUAUACCUGUGGGUUGAUGUCAUUGGGCUUGUACUAAUGUGUCUGACAUCUCAAAGAAUCACCAGUGAUAUGUAUUAUUUAUGAUUUUAUAUACGUACUCUAAUUUUAGUUGUGA
Molecule: long non-coding RNA, 646 nt
Organism: Macadamia integrifolia
Lineage: Eukaryota; Viridiplantae; Streptophyta; Magnoliopsida; Proteales; Proteaceae
Exons: 3
Source: RefSeq, a predicted model, not a curated record